RNAcentral lists this ribosomal RNA (827 nucleotides) under uncultured bacterium. Its description in RNAcentral is "bacterial SSU rRNA". It matches the Rfam family "Bacterial small subunit ribosomal RNA", at positions 26 to 902 of the family's 1533-position model. The record is from RNAcentral.
AGAACGUACGCUGGCGGCACGCCUAACACAUGCAAGUCGAACGCAGUAGCAAUACUGAGUGGCAGACGGGUGAGUAACAUGUGGGAAUCUGCCUUGUGGUUCAGGACAACAUUGGGAAACCGAUGCUAAUACUGGAUAAGCCCUUACGGGGAAAGUUUUAAUGCCAUAAGAUGAGCCCGCAUUUGAUUAGUUAGUUGGUGAGGUAAUGGCUCACCAAGACAAUGAUCAAUAGCUGAUCUGAGAGGAUGAUCAGCCACACUGGGACUGAGACACGGCCCAGACUCCUACGGGAGGCAGCAGUGGGGAAUCUUGCACAAUGGAGGAAACUCUGAUGCAGCGAUGCCGCGUGAGUGAAGAAGGCCUUUGGGUUGUAAAGCUCUUUUGUAGGGGAAGAUAAUGACUGUACCCUAAGAAUAAGGUCCGGCUAACUUCGUGCCAGCAGCCGCGGUAAUACGAAGGGACCUAGCGUAGUUCGGAAUUACUGGGCGUAAAGCGCGCGUAGGCCGUUGAGUUAGUUAAUUGUGAAAUCCCAAAGCUUAACUUUGGAACUGCAAUUAAAACUGCUCGACUAGAGUUUGAUAGAGGAAAGCGGAAUACAUAGUGUAGAGGUGAAAUUCGUAGAUAUUAUGUAGAACACCAGUUGCGAAGGCGGCUUUCUGGAUCAACACCGACGCUGANGCGCGAAAGUAUGGGUAGCAAAGAGGAUUAGAUACCCUCGUAGUCCAUACCAUAAACGAUGAUUGCUAGAUGUUGGAAAUUUAUUUUCAGUAUCGCAGCUAACGCAUUAAGCAAUCCNNCUGGGGAGUACGACCGCAAGGUUAAAACUC